UAUACUCCUCGGGAGGCAGCAGUAGGGAAUCUUCCACAAUGGGCGAAAGCCUGAUGGAGCAACGCCGCGUGUGUGAUGAAGGGUUUCGGCCCGUAAAACACUGUUGUAAGAGAAGAAUGACAUUGAGAGUAACUGUUCGAUGUGUGACGGUAUCUUACCAGAAAGGAACGGCUAAAUACGUGCCAGCAGCCGCGGUAAUA
Molecule: ribosomal RNA, 200 nt
Filed under: uncultured bacterium
Lineage: Bacteria
Description: partial 16S ribosomal RNA
Rfam family: Bacterial small subunit ribosomal RNA
Source: RNAcentral